Molecule: ribosomal RNA, 519 nt
Filed under: uncultured Bacteroidota bacterium
Lineage: Bacteria; Pseudomonadati; Bacteroidota
Description: bacterial SSU rRNA
Rfam family: Bacterial small subunit ribosomal RNA
Source: RNAcentral
UAGCUUGCUAGAUGCUGACGAGUGGCGCACGGGUGCGUAACGCGUAUACAAUCUACCUUUAACUGUGGGAUAGCCCAGAGAAAUUUGGAUUAAUACCUCAUAGUAUUAUAAUUAGGCAUCUUUUUAUAAUUAAAACUUCGGUGGUUAAAGAUGAGUAUGCGUACUAUUAGCUAGUUGGUAAGGUAAAAGCUUACCAAGGCAACGAUAGUUAGGGGGCCUGAAUGGGUGAUCCCCCACACUGGUACUGAGACACGGACCAGACUCCUACGGGAGGCAGCAGUGAGGAAUAUUGCACAAUGGAGGAAACUCUGAUGCAGCCAUGCCGCGUGCAGGAAGAAUGCCCUAUGGGUUGUAAACUGCUUUUAUACAAGAAGAAACCUCGGUACGUGUACCGACUUGACGGUAUUGUAUGAAUAAGCACCGGCUAACUCCGUGCCAGCAGCCGCGGUAAUACGGAGGGUGCAAGCGUUAUCCGGAUUUAUUAGGUUUAAAGGGUCCGCAGGCGGAAUAUUAAGUCAG